CGCCGCAGAAGAUACAUCGCUCAGCACCACGACCCUUGGCCUGAGAGCGUGGGUACUUCGGGGGCCUCCUGGAGCUAGACUGACCACCCGAUCCACCACCUUGUCUUUUCUUGCCCUUGUCCUUGUCCUUAUCGAACGCCUCACGGUCCUCACGCUCGCAAGCGUUCCCGUGCUCGACCCAUAGCGCGCGAUCCAAUGCUCCCGCCAAAGUGUGGAACUUAAAGGCAU
Molecule: long non-coding RNA, 228 nt
Filed under: Ananas comosus (pineapple)
Lineage: Eukaryota; Viridiplantae; Streptophyta; Magnoliopsida; Poales; Bromeliaceae
Description: long non-coding RNA (ACOM_LNC003766)
Source: RNAcentral